Molecule: ribosomal RNA, 354 nt
Filed under: Levilactobacillus brevis
Lineage: Bacteria; Bacillati; Bacillota; Bacilli; Lactobacillales; Lactobacillaceae
Description: bacterial SSU rRNA
Rfam family: Bacterial small subunit ribosomal RNA
Source: RNAcentral
AGAAGCAGGGGAUAACACUUGGAAACAGGUGCUAAUACCGUAUAACAACAAAAUCCGCAUGGAUUUUGUUUGAAAGGUGGCUUCGGCUAUCACUUCUGGAUGAUCCCGCGGCGUAUUAGUUAGUUGGUGAGGUAAAGGCCCACCAAGACGAUGAUACGUAGCCGACCUGAGAGGGUAAUCGGCCACAUUGGGACUGAGACACGGCCCAAACUCAUACGGGAGGCAGCAGUAGGGAAUCUUCCACAAUGGACGAAAGUCUGAUGGAGCAAUGCCGCGUGAGUGAAGAAGGGUUUCGGCUCGUAAAACUCUGUUGUUAAAGAAGAACACCUUUGAGAGUAACUGUUCAAGGGUUGA